This 72-nucleotide transfer RNA is filed under the name Amazonsprattus scintilla (Rio Negro pygmy anchovy). Its description in RNAcentral is "tRNA-Asn". It matches the Rfam family "tRNA". From Rfam's summary of the family: Transfer RNA (tRNA) molecules are approximately 80 nucleotides in length. Their secondary structure includes four short double-helical elements and three loops (D, anti-codon, and T loops). Further hydrogen bonds mediate the characteristic L-shaped molecular structure. tRNAs have two regions of fundamental functional importance: the anti-codon, which is responsible for specific mRNA codon recognition, and the 3' end, to which the tRNAs corresponding amino acid is attached (by aminoacyl-tRNA synthetases). tRNAs cope with the degeneracy of the genetic code in two manners: having more than one tRNA (with a specific anti-codon) for a particular amino acid; and 'wobble' base-pairing, i.e. permitting non-standard base-pairing at the 3rd anti-codon position. The record is from RNAcentral. Lineage: Eukaryota; Metazoa; Chordata; Actinopteri; Clupeiformes; Engraulidae.
UAGGCGGAUGCUCGCUGGUUAGAGCGCUUAGCUGUUAACUAAGAGUUUGUAGGAUCGAGGCCUCCCGCCUAG